This is a long non-coding RNA of Sceloporus undulatus (fence lizard), 610 nucleotides long. RefSeq lists it as uncharacterized. NCBI's taxonomy places the organism in Eukaryota, Metazoa, Chordata, Lepidosauria, Squamata, Phrynosomatidae. The transcript has 3 exons. The record is from RefSeq and is a predicted model, not a curated record.
CUUUUCUGCUUUUGUUUCUGCAGUUGGUGACAAGAAGCCAUCUAUCUUACUGAACCCAGAGAAUGUGGUCUUUGACGAAUGUGGCAGGAGGGAUGAACGGAUGCAGUCACGGGCUCGUGUUGUAGGAGGACGCCCUGGGAACUCACCUUGGACAGUCAGCAUCCGCAAUCGGGAAGGAAUCCAUUUCUGUGGAGGGUCGCUGGUGAAGGAGCAGUGGGUCAUCAGCACACGUCAGUGUUUCUCCUCUUGGUAAGCAUCUUGUUUGGCUUUUCUCUGGGGAUGCACUGUCAUUAGGAAACAGUAGUUUUUCCCAAGGGAGUCCAAAGGAAAUACAUUUUGUGGUGGAGCAUUAUGCAGGGGGACAGUGAUGGAAAACUGAUCAAGGUGGGCUUGCCUUGCUUGAAAAGCUAAAUUUAGUACUAGAUGCAAAACUAACAUGGAAAUAAUAGGGACAGGUUCCUGCACCACAAAAAAAGAACAGUUCAAUACAUUUCACAAAAUUGUUUAUCCAAAACUAACAAUAUGCACAUAUGAAACAACCAUGUCAGGCAAACAUUUCCUAAGUAAAAACUUUUUGAAAGUUCUAGAUAUCACCUGAAGGCUUCUUCUA